RNAcentral lists this ribosomal RNA (2917 nucleotides) under Staphylococcus sp. M0911. RNAcentral's name for it is "bacterial LSU rRNA". It matches the Rfam family "Bacterial large subunit ribosomal RNA". Lineage: Bacteria; Bacillati; Bacillota; Bacilli; Caryophanales; Staphylococcaceae. The record is from RNAcentral.
UUAAGUUAUUAAGGGCGCACGGUGGAUGCCUUGGCACUAGAAGCCGAUGAAGGACGUUACUAACGACGAUAUGCUUUGGGGAGCUGUAAGUAAGCGUUGAUCCAGAGAUUUCCGAAUGGGGAAACCCAGCAUGAGUUAUGUCAUGUUAUCGAUAUGUGAAUACAUAGCAUAUCAGAAGGCAGACCCGGAGAACUGAAACAUCUUAGUACCCGGAGGAAGAGAAAGAAAAAUCGAUUCCCUGAGUAGCGGCGAGCGAAACGGGAAGAGCCCAAACCAACAAGCUUGCUUGUUGGGGUUGUAGGACACUCUAUACGGAGUUACAAAAGUAUAUAUUAGACGAAUCAUCUGGAAAGUUGAAUCAAAGAAGGUAAUAAUCCUGUAGUCGAAAAUAUAUACUCUCUUGAGUGGAUCCUGAGUACGACGGAGCACGUGAAAUUCCGUCGGAAUCUGGGAGGACCAUCUCCUAAGGCUAAAUACUCUCUAGUGACCGAUAGUGAACCAGUACCGUGAGGGAAAGGUGAAAAGUACCCCGGAAGGGGAGUGAAAGAGAACUUGAAACCGUGUGCUUACAAGUAGUCAGAGCCCGUUAAUGGGUGAUGGCGUGCCUUUUGUAGAAUGAACCGGCGAGUUACGAUUUGAUGCAAGGUUAAGCAGCUAAUGUGGAGCCGUAGCGAAAGCGAGUCUGAAUAGGGCGUUUAGUAUUUGGUCGUAGACCCGAAACCAGGUGAUCUACCCUUGGUCAGGUUGAAGUUCAGGUAACACUGAAUGGAGGACCGAACCGACUUACGUUGAAAAGUGAGCGGAUGAACUGAGGGUAGCGGAGAAAUUCCAAUCGAACUUGGAGAUAGCUGGUUCUCUCCGAAAUAGCUUUAGGGCUAGCCUCAAGUGAUGAUUAUUGGAGGUAGAGCACUGUUUGGACGAGGGGCCCUUCUCGGGUUACCGAAUUCAGACAAACUCCGAAUGCCAAUCAAUUUAACUUGGGAGUCAGAACAUGGGUGAUAAGGUCCGUGUUCGAAAGGGAAACAGCCCAGACCACCAGCUAAGGUCCCAAAAUAUAUGUUAAGUGGAAAAGGAUGUGGCGUUGCCCAGACAACUAGGAUGUUGGCUUAGAAGCAGCCAUCAUUUAAAGAGUGCGUAAUAGCUCACUAGUCGAGUGACACUGCGCCGAAAAUGUACCGGGGCUAAACAUAUUACCGAAGCUGUGGAUUGUCCGUAGGACAAUGGUAGGAGAGCGUUCUAAGGGCGUCGAAGCAUGAUCGCAAGGACAUGUGGAGCGCUUAGAAGUGAGAAUGCCGGUGUGAGUAGCGAAAGACGGGUGAGAAUCCCGUCCACCGAUUGACUAAGGUUUCCAGAGGAAGGCUCGUCCGCUCUGGGUUAGUCGGGUCCUAAGCUGAGGCCGACAGGCGUAGGCGAUGGAUAACAGGUUGAUAUUCCUGUACCACCUAGUAUCGUUUUAAUCGAUGGGGGACGCAGUAGGAUAGGCGAAGCGUGCUAUUGGAUUGCACGUCCAAGCAGUAAGACUGAGUGUUAGGCAAAUCCGGCACUCAUAAGGUCAAGCUGUGAUGGGGAGAGGAAAUUGUUUCCUCGAGUCGUUGAUUUCACACUGCCAAGAAAAGCCUCUAGAUAGAUAACAGGUGCCCGUACCGCAAACCGACACAGGUAGUCAAGAUGAGAAUUCUAAGGUGAGCGAGCGAACUCUCGUUAAGGAACUCGGCAAAAUGACCCCGUAACUUCGGGAGAAGGGGUGCUCUUUAGGGUUAACGCCCAGAAGAGCCGCAGUGAAUAGGCCCAAGCGACUGUUUAUCAAAAACACAGGUCUCUGCUAAACCGUAAGGUGAUGUAUAGGGGCUGACGCCUGCCCGGUGCUGGAAGGUUAAGAGGAGUAGUUAGCUUCUGCGAAGCUACGAAUCGAAGCCCCAGUAAACGGCGGCCGUAACUAUAACGGUCCUAAGGUAGCGAAAUUCCUUGUCGGGUAAGUUCCGACCCGCACGAAAGGCGUAACGAUUUGGGCACUGUCUCAACGAGAGACUCGGUGAAAUCAUAGUACCUGUGAAGAUGCAGGUUACCCGCGACAGGACGGAAAGACCCCGUGGAGCUUUACUGUAGCCUGAUAUUGAAAUUCGGCACAGCUUGUACAGGAUAGGUAGGAGCCUUUGAAACGUGAGCGCUAGCUUACGUGGAGGCAUUGGUGGGAUACUACCCUAGCUGUGUUGGCUUUCUAACCCGCACCACUUAUCGUGGUGGGAGACAGUGUCAGGUGGGCAGUUUGACUGGGGCGGUCGCCUCCUAAAAGGUAACGGAGGCGCUCAAAGGUUCCCUCAGAAUGGUUGGAAAUCAUUCAUAGAGUGUAAAGGCAUAAGGGAGCUUGACUGCGAGACUUACAAGUCGAGCAGGGUCGAAAGACGGACUUAGUGAUCCGGUGGUUCCGCAUGGAAGGGCCAUCGCUCAACGGAUAAAAGCUACCCCGGGGAUAACAGGCUUAUCUCCCCCAAGAGUUCACAUCGACGGGGAGGUUUGGCACCUCGAUGUCGGCUCAUCGCAUCCUGGGGCUGUAGUCGGUCCCAAGGGUUGGGCUGUUCGCCCAUUAAAGCGGUACGCGAGCUGGGUUCAGAACGUCGUGAGACAGUUCGGUCCCUAUCCGUCGUGGGCGUAGGAAAUUUGAGAGGAGCUGUCCUUAGUACGAGAGGACCGGGAUGGACAUACCUCUGGUGUACCAGUUGUCGUGCCAACGGCAUAGCUGGGUAGCUAUGUAUGGACGGGAUAAGUGCUGAAAGCAUCUAAGCAUGAAGCCCCCCUCAAGAUGAGAUUUCCCAACUUCGGUUAUAAGAUCCCUCAAAGAUGAUGAGGUUAAUAGGUUCGAGGUGGAAGCGUGGUGACACGUGGAGCUGACGAAUACUAAUCGAUCGAAGACUUAAUC